RNAcentral lists this transfer RNA (72 nucleotides) under bacterium. RNAcentral's name for it is "tRNA-Ile". It matches the Rfam family "tRNA". Rfam says of the family: Transfer RNA (tRNA) molecules are approximately 80 nucleotides in length. Their secondary structure includes four short double-helical elements and three loops (D, anti-codon, and T loops). Further hydrogen bonds mediate the characteristic L-shaped molecular structure. tRNAs have two regions of fundamental functional importance: the anti-codon, which is responsible for specific mRNA codon recognition, and the 3' end, to which the tRNAs corresponding amino acid is attached (by aminoacyl-tRNA synthetases). tRNAs cope with the degeneracy of the genetic code in two manners: having more than one tRNA (with a specific anti-codon) for a particular amino acid; and 'wobble' base-pairing, i.e. permitting non-standard base-pairing at the 3rd anti-codon position. The record is from RNAcentral.
GGGCCUGUAGCUCAACGGCUAGAGCACGUGACUUAUAAUCACGCAACGAUGGUUCGACUCCAUCCAGGCCCA